RNAcentral lists this unclassified non-coding RNA (236 nucleotides) under Glarea sp. RNAcentral describes it as "partial internal transcribed spacer region". The stretch from base 1 to 46 matches the Rfam family "Eukaryotic small subunit ribosomal RNA", at positions 1786 to 1831 of the family's 1831-position model. RNAcentral also lists the same sequence under 2 other names. Lineage: Eukaryota; Fungi; Ascomycota; Leotiomycetes; Helotiales; Helotiaceae. The record is from RNAcentral.
AAGUCGUAACAAGGUUUCCGUAGGUGAACCUGCGGAAGGAUCAUUACAGUGUUCCCUGCCCUCACGGGUAGAAACGCCCACCCUUUGUGUAAUAUAUCUUGUUGCUUUGGCGGGCCGCCUUCGGGCACCGGCUUCGGCUGGGUUGCGCCUGCCAGAGGACCCCAAACUCUGAAUGUUAGUGUCGUCUGAGUACUAUAUAAUAGUUAAAACUUUCAACAACGGAUCUCUUGGUUCUG